This 447-nucleotide ribosomal RNA is filed under the name uncultured bacterium. RNAcentral's name for it is "bacterial SSU rRNA". It matches the Rfam family "Bacterial small subunit ribosomal RNA", at positions 330 to 793 of the family's 1533-position model. The record is from RNAcentral.
GCCAGACUCCUACGGGAGGCAGCAGUGGGGGAUAUUGCACAAUGGGGGGAACCCUGAUGCAGCGACGCCGCGUGGGUGAAGGAGUGCUUCGGCAUGUAAAGCCCUAUCGGCAGGGAAGAAGCAAGACGGUACCUGACUAAGAAGCCCCGGCUAACUACGUGCCAGCAGCCGCGGUAAUACGUAGGGGGCAAGCGUUAUCCGGAUUUACUGGGUGUAAAGGGAGCGUAGACGGCGAUGCAAGCCAGAUGUGAAAGCCCGGGGCUCAACCCCGGGACUGCAUUUGGAACUGUGUGGCUGGAGUGUCGGAGAGGCAGGCGGAAUUCCUAGUGUAGCGGUGAAAUGCGUAGAUAUUAGGAGGAACACCAGUGGCGAAGGCGGCCUGCUGGACGAUGACUGACGUUGAGGCUCGAAAGCGUGGGGAGCAAACAGGAUUAGAUACCCUGGUAC